AGAGUUUGAUCCUGGCUCAGAAUCAACGCUGGCGGCGUGCCUAACACAUGCAAGUCGAACGAGAAAGUGGAGCAAUCCAUGAGUACAGUGGCGUACGGGUGAGUAACACGUGACUAACCUACCUCCGAGUGGGGAAUAACCCCGGGAAACCGGGGCUAACACCGCAUAAAACCGCAAGGUCAAAUGCGCAAGCAGCUUGGAGAGGGGGUCGCGGUUGAUUAGCUAGUUGGUGAGGUAAUGGCUCACCAAGGCGAUGAUCAAUAGCCGGCCUGAGAGGGCGCACGGCCACACUGGAACUGAAACACGGUCCAGACUCCUACGGGAGGCAGCAGUGGGGAAUUUUGCGCAAUGGGGGAAACCCUGACGCAGCAACGCCGCGUGGAGGAUGAAGCCCUUUGGGGCGUAAACUCCUUUCGACCCGGACGAUAAUGACGGUACGGGUGGAAGAAGCACCGGCUAACUCUGUGCCAGCAGCCGCGGUAAUACAGAGGGUGCAAGCGUUGUUCGGAAUUAUUGGGCGUAAAGGGCGCGUAGGCGGCGCAGUAAGUCACCUGUGAAAUCUCCUGGCUUAACUGGGAGCCUGCAGGCGAAACUACCGUGCUGGAGUGUGGGAGAGGUGCGUGGAAUUCCCGGUGUAGCGGUGAAAUGCGUAGAUAUCGGG
RNAcentral lists this ribosomal RNA (661 nucleotides) under uncultured soil bacterium. Its description in RNAcentral is "bacterial SSU rRNA". It matches the Rfam family "Bacterial small subunit ribosomal RNA", at positions 8 to 701 of the family's 1533-position model. The record is from RNAcentral.